AUUGAACGCUGGCGGCAUGCCUUACACAUGCAAGUCGAACGGCAGCACGGGAGCAAUCCUGGUGGCGAGUGGCGAACGGGUGAGUAAUAUAUCGGAACGUGCCCAGUCGUGGGGAUAACGUAGCGAAAGCUACGCUAAUACCGCAUACGAUCUAUGGAUGAAAGCGGGGGAUCGCAAGACCUCGCGCGAUUGGAGCGGCCGAUAUCAGAUUAGGUAGUUGGUGAGGUAAAGGCUCACCAAGCCGACGAUCUGUAGCUGGUCUGAGAGGACGACCAGCCACACUGGGACUGAGACACGGCCCAGACUCCUACGGAGGCAGCAGUGGGGAAUUUUGGACAAUGGCGCAAGCCUGAUCCAGCAAUGCCGCGUGCAGGAUGAAGGCC
RNAcentral lists this ribosomal RNA (383 nucleotides) under uncultured bacterium. RNAcentral's name for it is "bacterial SSU rRNA". It matches the Rfam family "Bacterial small subunit ribosomal RNA", at positions 30 to 416 of the family's 1533-position model. The record is from RNAcentral.